GAAUAAAGCAGAUGGCUGGGUGCCUUUUGUAUUUACAAAAGGAUAAUAGGGAAUCAGGUCUAAGUCCUGAGCGGGUCCGCCACUGUAACUAGUUAGUUAGGCUUAAAUUGCCACUUGGAUAGAUUGAUAUCUAGGGAAGGUAAAGUCUAAUGUUUAGGCUAGAAGCCAGGAAACCUGCCCAGCUGUUAUCCUACAU
This 196-nucleotide non-coding RNA is filed under the name Acetohalobium arabaticum. Lineage: Bacteria; Bacillati; Bacillota; Clostridia; Halanaerobiales; Halobacteroidaceae. RNAcentral also lists the same sequence under 1 other name. The record is from RNAcentral.